AGAUAGAGCACUACAAAGGCGCCUC
RNAcentral lists this non-coding RNA (25 nucleotides) under Rattus norvegicus (Norway rat). The record is from RNAcentral. Lineage: Eukaryota; Metazoa; Chordata; Mammalia; Rodentia; Muridae.